This 500-nucleotide ribosomal RNA is filed under the name uncultured bacterium. RNAcentral describes it as "partial 16S ribosomal RNA". It matches the Rfam family "Bacterial small subunit ribosomal RNA", at positions 30 to 523 of the family's 1533-position model. The record is from RNAcentral.
AUUGGACGCUGGCGGAAUGCUUUACACAUGCAAGUCGAACGGCAGCACGGACUUCGGUCUGGUGGCGAGUGGCGAACGGGUGAGUAAUGUAUCGGAACGUGCCCAGUCAUGGGGGAUAACGUAGUGAAAAUUACGCUAAUACCGCAUACGAUCUAUGGAUGAAAGCGGGGGAUCGCAAGACCUCGCGCGAUUGGAGCGGCCGAUAUCAGAUUAGGUAGUUGGUGGGGUAAAGGCCCACCAAGCCAACGAUCUGUAGCUGGUCUGAGAGGACGACCAGCCACACUGGAACUGAGACACGGUCCAGACUCCUACGGGAGGCAGCAGUGGGGAAUUUUGGACAAUGGGCGAAAGCCUGAUCCAGCCAUUCCGCGUGCAGGAUGAAGGCCCUCGGGUUGUAAACUGCUUUUGUACAGAACGAAAAGGUUUCUACUAAUACUAGGAGCUCAUGACGGUACUGUAAGAAUAAGCACCGGCUAACUACGUGCCAGCAGCCGCCGUAA